RNAcentral lists this unclassified non-coding RNA (296 nucleotides) under Hevea brasiliensis (rubber tree). Lineage: Eukaryota; Viridiplantae; Streptophyta; Magnoliopsida; Malpighiales; Euphorbiaceae. The record is from RNAcentral.
UGACAACCUACAAUUCCCUAUAGACGGAAAAAGAAAAUGAGAGAUUUUGAAAUACUUAAAAACACAAUGCAAAUUUUAAACUACAUUAAACCAGUUCCAUCAAGAAAUACACCCUUGUUCUUGGCUUCCAAUAAGAUCAUAAAACUCUAUGUAAAAUAGGCUUUCGUCCACAAACAUUUUCUUUUCCACCUGCUUUCCCGGAGACCAAACAUCGACUCUGAUCACAACUUCCCUCCACUCAGUUAUAAUUGCACCACAAAACAAAAUUGAUUGAAAAAAGGGAAACAAAAGUCUAC